GGAAUUUGUAUCACGUUUAUAGAUAAUAACUGAGAAGCUAAAAUAUUAAGCAUUUUAAUACCUAAGAUCACAUAUAAGCUCCAAACUGUAACUCCAAAGCCCACAUUAAUUUGGUGGGCCUGGCUUUCAGAAAUAAUGACAGUUUUUUUUUAAAGAAGAGAAGAAUUAAAAAAUUAUCCUGACUAGUUAGUAAUAAUCUUGAGAAGUUUUGAUUUGAAAUCCAGAUUUCUUAUCCACUGAUUAGACAAUAAAAUGCAUACGUAUUGAUAAUGUGUAUGUAACUGGUAGCUGUACGAACAGGGAAGUUUAUACCUGUCUUUGAAAGGAAUCAGAGUGCUCACCGUGUUGCCUGGUGUCUCUAGGUUGGCUGGAGAGACCACAUAGAAUUUGUCAGAAACAGACCUCUUGAAAUCUACCAAUGGCUGGGCCAAGUUAUUACUUCCAUCAAAAUGGAAAGUAAUGAAAUACAUAGCUAAUCCAGGUUGAGGGGAGGCCAUUGACAGACUGAGGUAAUUGUGGAGAUCUGAGAAGAGAAAAGAUAUGGACUAGUCAUCGGAGAGAGCGAGGAACAAUGCAUCUCAGACAGCUGUCAGUGUGGCGAGAAGAACUCUGCUUUCAGGCAUGAAAUCCUUGAAGUGUGGACCCGAAAGAGACCUCAGAAAUUACCUGCUUGUGUCACCCGCGUGACAC
RNAcentral lists this long non-coding RNA (690 nucleotides) under Fukomys damarensis (Damara mole-rat). Its description in RNAcentral is "lncRNA (ENSFDAG00000024431.1)". Lineage: Eukaryota; Metazoa; Chordata; Mammalia; Rodentia; Bathyergidae. The record is from RNAcentral.